RNAcentral lists this ribosomal RNA (171 nucleotides) under uncultured bacterium. RNAcentral describes it as "partial 16S ribosomal RNA". It matches the Rfam family "Bacterial small subunit ribosomal RNA", at positions 338 to 501 of the family's 1533-position model. The record is from RNAcentral.
CCUACGGGAGGCAGCAGCUAAGAAUAUUCCGCAAUGGACGAAAGUCUGACGGAGCGACGCCGCGUGGAUGAUGAAGGCCGGAAGGUUGUAAAAUCCUUUUGUCGGGGAAGAAUAAGCAUGGGAGGGAAUGCCCGUGUGAUGACAUGAACCGGCGAAUAAGCCCCGGCUAAC